RNAcentral lists this transfer RNA (71 nucleotides) under Candidatus Nomurabacteria bacterium RIFCSPLOWO2_01_FULL_36_10b. Its description in RNAcentral is "tRNA-Gly". It matches the Rfam family "tRNA". From Rfam's summary of the family: Transfer RNA (tRNA) molecules are approximately 80 nucleotides in length. Their secondary structure includes four short double-helical elements and three loops (D, anti-codon, and T loops). RNAcentral also lists the same sequence under 1 other name. Lineage: Bacteria; Candidatus Nomuraibacteriota. The record is from RNAcentral.
GCGGGUAUGGUUUAGUGGUAGAAUGUCUGCCUUCCAAGCAGAAGACGGGAGUUCGAUUCUCCCUACCCGCA